This 373-nucleotide ribosomal RNA is filed under the name uncultured Clostridium sp. RNAcentral's name for it is "bacterial SSU rRNA". It matches the Rfam family "Bacterial small subunit ribosomal RNA", at positions 355 to 744 of the family's 1533-position model. The record is from RNAcentral. Lineage: Bacteria; Bacillati; Bacillota; Clostridia; Eubacteriales; Clostridiaceae.
UGGGGGAUAUUGGACAAUGGGGGGAAACCCUGAUCCAGCGAUGCCGCGUGAGGGAAGAAGGUUUUCGGAUUGUAAACCUCUGUGGACAGGGACGAUAAUGACGGUACCUGUCUAGAAAGCCACGGCUAACUACGUGCCAGCAGCCGCGGUAAUACGUAGGUGGCGAGCGUUGUCCGGAAUUACUGGGUGUAAAGGGAGUGUAGGCGGGAGAGCAAGUCGGAAGUGAAAAUUAUGGGCUUAACCCAUAACCUGCUUUUGAAACUGUUCUUCUUGAGUGAAGUAGAGGCAAGCGGAAUUCCUAGUGUAGCGGUGAAAUGCAUAGAUAUUAGGAGGAACACCAGUGGCGAAGGCGGCUUGCUGGGCUUUUACUGAC